Long non-coding RNA from Myxocyprinus asiaticus (Chinese sucker), 3345 nucleotides. RefSeq lists it as uncharacterized. NCBI's taxonomy places the organism in Eukaryota, Metazoa, Chordata, Actinopteri, Cypriniformes, Catostomidae. The record is from RefSeq and is a predicted model, not a curated record. The transcript is spliced from 5 exons.
UAUUUUAUUGGCCAUAUGCAUCGUAUUGCAUAUGGUAUUGCAUCAUAUUAAUAAAAUGUUGAAAAGCAUAAUUUUAUGUGUUGAAGCUCAGUCUUUAUUUUUUAUUGACUUUUCAGUUGUCCAAUAUGUGCCACGCCGCUGCAUAAUAUAAAGAAACCGUAUUUUUAACAAGCAUUUUAUGUUUUAAAGUUAUUGCCUUUUGACUUGUCCAAUCAGCGCUCAAGACGUUGCAUCAGGUGCGCUCGCGCCUUUUGCCCAAAUUGUCCUUGAACUGACGAUUUUUCUGGAACAGACAGCAAGCAAGAAGCAACGCACAGACCACGGCGAGCUGCUGAAAUUACAUUUUUUUCCCAUAUGAAAUCUGUCUGGUAAGCACAAAUAAAAAAAAUCUGUAAAGUUGAAGUUCAAUAAUUGUUUUAGUUAUUUGAAUACAGCUUUUGUGUUGUAAAGCGUUUAUUUUAUUUUCAUAUCUUUAAUGUCAUUGUAAAUCGUAAACGACGUGGACCUUUUGGCUGUCUAGAUGGUAACAUUUUGUCCUUUUAAAAUAUAAACUUACAUAUUGGAAAUUAACGAAUUCGCUCUGAUUUCUUUGAUUUGAAACGUUUGUAACGCAGUUUAGCAGUAUGUCGUGCUGUAACCAUGGCGAGGCGGACUUCAUGUUUAAACGAUAUCUCGCAUUGGUUAUUGGUUGAGUUCAGGAUGAGUAAGUUUUGAAUAUGCAUUACAAUGUACACUUGCUGUUUUUGUAGUUUAACAGUGCAAAGUCUGAGGGAAUAUGUUUUGCACUGCAGACUGCAUCGCAACGAACCUCGCGCCAUUUUCAAAUGUGUCACAGUUGACUGCAAACAGUCGUUUUCCAAAUACGUAGCAUUUAAGAGUCAUUUCUAUCCCCGCCAUAACAGCUCUACCACUGAUUAGGCCUCGACAUGCAGUAUUUCACUAUGUAGUCAUCAGUGCCAGGAUGUGCCCAGUCUUGUUGCUCACUUAAAGAACAAUAUGAAGGAAGGUCGUGCAGUUAACUGUCCAGUGAGAGGGUGCAAAAGUGCUUUUCAAAUCAUGUCCUCUUUUACCUCUCAUAUGUCUAGGAAGCACAGGAACUGUUCAGUAAACAGCAUUAGCGAUUCACAUCGGCAUUCUGCAUCAGAGAUACCGUCUGUUUCAACUGAGCAAUGUCCUGCUGACCUGGAUGCAAAUACAGUCAUGGAUGAAUCAGCAAAGCAAUGUAACCAGUGCAAUUGCUGAGUUACACAAAGAUCUUUCAUCCUCGGUGCUGCAAUCAGUUUUGGAGACACUGAAUUCACUUGGAGUAACAUCACCUGAAGAUUUUCAAUAUGUUCAGGAAUCAGAUCUCCUGCCAGUAUUAUGACCCAUUCAGGCCAGAAAACUUGUAUCUGCCUGGAGCCAGAUCAAACAAAGUGCUGAUAGCUUGUCAAGUUCUAGAGAGAUCAGCAGUGCUUCAUGUUCAUCAUCCCCAUCAUGUGGCAAGGCUUCCAGAGUUGUUUCAGACUGGGCCGACAGUUUUAAAAUUCCAUGGCAGAAGUUUCCAGAAGUAUUGACUCAAUGUUUAGAAAAGACCAAAUCCAAGAUUGCGACGAGAUAUGGUCAGAAUUGUCAUGUCUGAAAUGAAGGUAUGUGACUGUCCCAGUAAACAAAGCUCUACAGCCAUUGCCAAAAAGAUUGUGGCCAAAUACCCUGCAUCCUUGCAGGAUGUUAUCAAAGGUGAUAUAAUUGGUUCAGGGUAUAACUCGCUGGUCAAGCAGAUUCAGAAUUGCAUAGAAAAUGUGAAGAGACCCAACAUGCCGAAAAUCAGAAAAAGCAACAGAACAGAAGAAUCUGACACAGAGGAGAUUCCUGCUGAAAAAAGGGCAGCGGUUCAAGACACUUAUGGCUGUGUGAAUUGGGUUUUAAAAUUUAUGCCGCACUGAGACUAAAGAGAGCCAGUUGGAUAAACAAGAACGGAUGAAGAUCAUGUCUAAAACAACAAAUGUUGACCCAGAAGAAGUUGGCAACCUUCUGAAAGCAACAUACUACUCUCAACGCAAAUAUAUAAACAACGGAGCAAGCAUACAACAGCUUUGUGAGAACUGGCCUUUUCUAUUUCAAGAGGUUGGUAUGUGUGUACACUUCAAGCAGCUAACCGGAAUUGAUCUGAAGGAGAUGUUCCUUAAAAGCUUAGAUAAAAAGGACAGCGGCUCCUGAACUUUCUUAAAACAGUUGGUGCAGAAAAGACAAAAGUACUGCAAGCUGCUGCAAAACUAGAAGUUACGAGGUAUCAAACUGAGGGAUGCAGUGAAGAUUUGAAAGAUGUGGUGCUUCUUCUGCUUGCCUACUUUGAUGAAAAGGAAGAAGUGGUGUUUCAUUAUGUGGCGGAGUCUUGCCUUGUCGAAGAUGUGGAGGUAGACAAGUUACCAGCAACACCCUGCAUCAUUGUCUGUGGCUCUUCCUGCUACACAUCAAAACUAUUCAUGCUGAGCAUCGACCAAAAGAUUACAACUCCGCACAUUUCUACAUUUCAUCUCUGCAUUGUGCAUGAUGUUUGGCAGUUACUACUGUUUUAACAUUCAUUACCCUUUGGAACUGGGUUCUGCUCUGGAGUUCUACUAAGGUGCUGCUUCAGCAUAAACCCAGAGAAGGGCACCAAAGCUGAACCGAGGAAAAACAAAAAACAGCUCCCAGUGAACCCCCGAGUCCUUACACUCAUAGCAGACCUUGCUGAUCAUGAAUGGAGAGCAGAUUAAGGUUGGACAAAACCUUUUUGACAGAUGUUUGAAGAUUACGUUGGCACUGAGAAUGUUUUACAACUUUGUGUUAUCUGGAUUUACACUGAAAGAUGCUUGAACUUUGAAUGUAGAAAACUACUUAAAUGUGAGUCCUGUCCUCUUAGAAAGCUAUACUGUUUUGUACUUAUGGUACUAUACCAGUAAUGAUUUGAGCAGCCAACAAAACAUUGUGUGUACCUAAAAUAAAAUGUCACUUUGUUUUUUGUUUGUUUUUUUUUUUUAAUAGUUAUGCUUUUCAUGUCUUUUCAAUUUAUACAUUUAAGUUUUCCUACAGGAAGUUUUGUUUUGUGCAUCUGAGAUUGUAAAAAUCUGUAUGUUAAUGCUUUCCAAGCAUUUGGUUCAUGAUUAAUCCAUUCUGUUAAUAGAAUGGUGUGCUGUCUUGUUCAGGUUAUUGAAAUGUGUGGCUUUCUGGUAAAGAUUGCAAUUAUUCAAAAUGUUUGUUCUGCAAGUUGAAGCGAACAGGGAGUACAUUCUUUUACUGCUGUUUUAAGGAGAAGAAUAUGGUUGUCCAAAGUAUGUAUUUACUAUGUUUGUGGUAUUUAAAUAAAAGUGUAUUUGCUUUUCA